GUGCAUGACAUUCUCAAUCAUCACAGCCUCUACUUCUAAUCAAACCACAAG
Molecule: small RNA, 51 nt
Filed under: Arabidopsis thaliana (thale cress)
Lineage: Eukaryota; Viridiplantae; Streptophyta; Magnoliopsida; Brassicales; Brassicaceae
Description: ATSL120120
Source: RNAcentral